RNAcentral lists this unclassified non-coding RNA (242 nucleotides) under Podonectria novae-zelandiae. RNAcentral's name for it is "partial contains 5.8S ribosomal RNA, internal transcribed spacer 2, and large subunit ribosomal RNA". Lineage: Eukaryota; Fungi; Ascomycota; Dothideomycetes; Podonectriaceae. The record is from RNAcentral.
CGCACAUUGCGCCUGUUGGUAUUCCAACAGGCAUGCCUGUUCGAGCGUCAUUUAAGUCCUCAAGCCUAGCUUGGUGUUGGGUGCUGUUCGCGCUGCGCGGACUCGCCCCAAAUGUAUUGGCAGUCGGCAACAGGGUUGUUGGAGCGUAGCACAAUUUGCGCUCCCAGCCACUAGCGCUGGCGUACAUGAAGCUUAUUCCAACGUUUGACCUCGGAUCAGGUAGGGAUACCCGCUGAACUUAA